RNAcentral lists this ribosomal RNA (339 nucleotides) under Cornugammarus maximus. RNAcentral's name for it is "partial 16S ribosomal RNA". Lineage: Eukaryota; Metazoa; Arthropoda; Malacostraca; Amphipoda; Acanthogammaridae. The record is from RNAcentral.
GUGCUAAGGUAGCAUAAUCAUUUGCUUCUUAAUUGGUAGCUGGAAUGAACGGUUGAACUGGGUUAGUAAGUGUGUAUAUUUAAACAGAAAAUUAAAGUUAAGGUAAUAAUUCUUUGAUGAGUUAGGGGACGAUAAGACCCUACAAGCUUAAUAAGUAUAGCAUUGGCUUUGUUUUUCAAGUUAGUUUAUUUUACUGGGGAGGUAUAGGUACUUAAACUAUCAAUUAAUUUAGGAUCCUUAAAAUAUAGAUGAAAUGGAAAAGUUACUUUAGGGGUAACAGUGCAAUAUUUUUGGAGAGAUCUUAUCGAUAAAUAUGGUUGCAACCUCGAUGUUGAAUUA